This 447-nucleotide ribosomal RNA is filed under the name uncultured bacterium. RNAcentral describes it as "bacterial SSU rRNA". It matches the Rfam family "Bacterial small subunit ribosomal RNA", at positions 329 to 793 of the family's 1533-position model. The record is from RNAcentral.
GCCCAGACUCCUACGGGAGGCAGCAGUGGGGAAUAUUGCACAAUGGGGGAAACCCUGAUGCAGCGACGCCGCGUGAGCGAUGAAGUAUUUCGGUAUGUAAAGCUCUAUCAGCAGGGAAGAAAAUGACGGUACCUGACUAGGAAGCCCCGGCUAACUACGUGCCAGCAGCCGCGGUAAUACGUAGGGGGCAAGCGUUAUCCGGAUUUACUGGGUGUAAAGGGAGCGUAGACGGCUGUGCAAGCCAGAUGUGAAAGCCCGGGGCUCAACCCCGGGACUGCAUUUGGAACUGUGUGGCUGGAGUGUCGGAGAGGCAGGCGGAAUUCCUGGUGUAGCGGUGAAAUGCGUAGAUAUUAGGAGGAACACCAGUGGCGAAGGCGGCCUGCUGGACGAUGACUGACGUUGAGGCUCGAAAGCGUGGGGAGCAAACAGGAUUAGAUACCCCAGUAC